UGGUUCAGUCGGUAGGGCACUCGACUCGCAUGCGCGAGGUCACCGGUUCGAAUCCCA
RNAcentral lists this transfer RNA (57 nucleotides) under Heterosigma akashiwo. The record is from RNAcentral. Lineage: Eukaryota; Raphidophyceae; Chattonellales; Chattonellaceae.